UACAGAGGGUGCAAGCGUUAAUCGGAUUUACUGGGCGUAAAGCGUGCGUAGGAGGGCAGGUAAGUCAGUGGUGAAAUCCCCGAGCUUAACUUGGGAACUGCCGUUGAUACUAUCUGUCUUGAAUAUUGUGGAGGUGAGCGGAAUAUGUCAUGUAGCGGUGAAAUGCUUAGAUAUGACAUAGAACACCAAUUGCGAAGGCAGCUCGCUACACAUAUAUUGACUCUGAGGCACGAAAGCGUGGGGAUCAAACAGG
Molecule: ribosomal RNA, 253 nt
Filed under: uncultured bacterium
Lineage: Bacteria
Description: partial 16S ribosomal RNA
Rfam family: Bacterial small subunit ribosomal RNA
Source: RNAcentral